This 192-nucleotide ribosomal RNA is filed under the name uncultured Thauera sp. Its description in RNAcentral is "partial 16S ribosomal RNA". It matches the Rfam family "Bacterial small subunit ribosomal RNA", at positions 340 to 524 of the family's 1533-position model. The record is from RNAcentral. Lineage: Bacteria; Pseudomonadati; Pseudomonadota; Betaproteobacteria; Rhodocyclales; Zoogloeaceae.
UACGGGAGGCAGCAGUGGGGAAUUUUGGACAAUGGGGGCAACCCUGAUCCAGCCAUGCCGCGUGAGUGAAGAAGGCCUUCGGGUUGUAAAGCUCUUUCGGCCGGGAAGAAAUCGUGUUCUCUAACAUAGGACAUGGAUGACGGUACCGGACUAAGAAGCACCGGCUAACUACGUGCCAGCAGCCGCGGUAAU